AUUUUCCCUUGUUUCAAAAAAAAAAGGGGGAGGGCUCUCUCAUUUCUCUCUGGCCAAAGCAAGAAUCUGGCGAAGAAAUCGCCGUAGGGUCACCGCCGGCCCUCCGAAAGGUGCAAGUGGGCGACAAGGCGAUGGAACAAGUGGCGGUGCAGAUGUGGCAGUGGGCAAGUGCGGCUGGUGGCAGAAGGCUAGCUAAGGUUUCAGCCUUUCUGGAACCCUAGUUUAACUAAUGGGUCAAUUGGGCUUGGGCUAUUAGGUUUAAUUUGUAAAUGGACAUUUGGGAUUGUUUUUGUGUUUGUCUAAUUUGGGCUUGGGCCGGCAAUUUUGGCACAUAAUCUAUGCAUCAUCUUAUCUUAAACCCAA
Long non-coding RNA from Gossypium arboreum, 363 nucleotides. RefSeq lists it as uncharacterized. The transcript has 2 exons. NCBI's taxonomy places the organism in Eukaryota, Viridiplantae, Streptophyta, Magnoliopsida, Malvales, Malvaceae. The record is from RefSeq and is a predicted model, not a curated record.